UACGAAGGGUGCAAACGUUGCUCGGAAUUAUUGGGCGUAAAGCGCACGUAGGCGGCUUAGCAAGUCGGAAGUGAAAUCCCUCGGCUCAACCAAGGAAGUGCUUUCGAAACUGCUGAGCUUGAGUACUUAAGAGGAUCGCGGAAUUCCCGGUGUAGAGGUGAAAUUCGUAGAUAUCGGGAGGAACACCAGUGGCGAAGGCGGCGAUCUGGGAAGAUACUGACGCUGAGGUGCGAAAGCGUGGGGAGCAAACAGG
This 253-nucleotide ribosomal RNA is filed under the name uncultured bacterium. RNAcentral's name for it is "partial 16S ribosomal RNA". It matches the Rfam family "Bacterial small subunit ribosomal RNA", at positions 524 to 776 of the family's 1533-position model. The record is from RNAcentral. RNAcentral also lists the same sequence under 3 other names.